Molecule: unclassified non-coding RNA, 399 nt
Filed under: fungal sp.
Lineage: Eukaryota; Fungi
Description: partial internal transcribed spacer region
Source: RNAcentral
AAGUCGUAACAUGUUUUUGUAGGUGAACCUGCGGAAGGAUCAUUAACACGUAUCCAACGUUAAACCCCCCAUGCACACAGCGACCUGCUCCCUCAAUUUCGGUAGGGACAUCCAAAGGGCCGGUAGGGUAUUAAAGUAGUAGUCAAUGCAAAGCAACCUGGUUUCUUUGAAGCAAGAAAGUGUGAGCCGGAGAACGGACCGAGUGGUAGUUCAAAGGUGCCUUCUGUCGCGCACUGUGGAAAGGAAGACGCUUUACGAAUCACUGUCCAACACGGUCAGUGACCGGGUUCCUGGUCCUAGACCCCAUAUUCACCACCACAGUCGCAGACGAGGUAGGGAUACGUCCCUACCACCAAAUAAAUACUUGAACAACUGUUAACAAUGGAUAUCUUGGUUCUC